This 253-nucleotide ribosomal RNA is filed under the name uncultured bacterium. Its description in RNAcentral is "partial 16S ribosomal RNA". It matches the Rfam family "Bacterial small subunit ribosomal RNA", at positions 524 to 776 of the family's 1533-position model. The record is from RNAcentral.
UACGGAGGGUGCGAGCGUUAAUCGGAAUUACUGGGCGUAAAGUGUGCGCAGGCGGCUUGGCAAGUCGAGUGUGAAAUCCCCGGGCUUAACUUGGGAACUGCAUUUGUGACUGCAUCGCUGGAGUGCGGCAGAGGGGGAUGGAAUUCCGCGUGUAGCAGUGAAAUGCGUAGAUAUGCGGAGGAACACCGAUGGCGAAGGCAAUCCCCUGGGCCUGCACUGACGCUCAUGCACGAAAGCGUGGGGAGCAAACAGG